UCCGAACCGUUUCUGUAACGGCAUGCUCCAGUCGCUUUCUUCCGAUCCCCCUUCACUUCCCCUUGUUAGGAAGAGAGACCGACGGAGGGAGGCGAAAGGAAGAAGAGAAGGAAGAGGUGGAGGCAGAGCGCAGGAGAGUUGAGGAUGACGGUUCCCGGGCGAGAGAGGCCCUCGACGGCGAUGGCGCCGCCAAAGAGUUUAAGGCAGGACGCGGGAGGGUCGAGGACGGUGGUCCCCCGGGCGGCGUAGGCCCUCGAUGGCGGCGGCGGCCGCUGCCGAGGCGGGGUGCAGGGAGGUGGCGGUGACGCCGGCAACGCACAAGGUCCCUCGGCGGCUGCUGCUGCGGGUGGCGUCGGUGGUGUGCGGGGUCCAGUUCGGCUGGGCCCUCCAACUCUCGCUGCUCACGCCGUACGUGCAGGAGCUGGGGAUCCCCACCAUUGGGCCAGCCUCGUGUGGCUCUGCGGGCCCCUCUCCGGCCUCAUCGUCCAGCCCCUCGUCGGCCACCUAAGCGACCACUGCGCCAGCCCGCUCGGCUGCUGCCGACCAUACAUCGCCGGUGGGGCCGCCGCCAUCGCCGCCUCCGUGCUCCUCAUCGGGUAUUCCGCCGACAUCGGCCACGCCCUCGGCGACCGUGCCGACGGGGGAACCCGGCACCGGGCGAUCGCCGUCUGCUUGCUAGGGUUUUGGCUGCUCGUCGUGGGGAACAACACCACCCAGGGGCCAUUCAGGGCCCUCCUCGCCGAUCUUACAGGAAAAGAUCGUAGACGGACUCGGGUAGCUAAUGCUUAUUUUUCACUCUUCAUGGCACUGGGGAAUGUACUUGGCUUUGCUCCUGGUUCUUAUAGUCGUUGGUUUAGCAUCUUUCUCUUCAUUGUCACUACAGCAUGCAGCAUAAAUUGUGCCAAUCUCAAAUCUGCUUUUCUUCUUGAUGUUGUUUUUCUUAUGAUCACCACUACUGUAAGUGUCUUAUCAGCCAAGGAAAUCCCUCUUUCUUCUGCCAGUGGAGUUAUGGAUUGUGCUGGAGAAGCACAGGUGCAGUUGAAUGAUGGCCAUGAGGCUUUUCUAUGGGAAUUAGUUGGUUCGUGUAAAUAUCUUACGCUGCCUAUAUGGACGGUUCUAAUUGUCACUGCACUUACUUGGAUAGGAUGGUUUCCUUUCAUUCUUUUUUUAUACUGAUUGGAUGGGCCAGGAGAUGUGCAAGGGAAACCCAAAUGAAGGGAAAAAUUAUCAAACUGGAGUAAGAAUGGGGGCUACUGGUCUAAUGUUAAAUUCCAUUGUUGUCGGUUGUACUUCAGUGGUUUUGGAAAAACUCUGCAGGAAGUGGGGUGCUGGCUUGACCUGGGGAAUUGCCAACAUUUUCAUGUUUUUAUGGUUUCUAGCAAUGCUUAUAAUAUCUUCUCUGGCGAAAAAUGUGGAAUACCCAGAAGAUGGACUCCCUCCAGAUGGUGUUGUUAUUGCUGCACUUGCUAUUUUUACAGUUCUCGGGGCACCUUUGGAAGUCACAUAUACUAUUCCUUAUGCAAUGAUAUCUGCAUGUAUAGAACUUUUAGGGCUUGGUCAGGGAUUGGCCAUGGGCAUUUUAAAUCUGGCAAUUGUGAUACCUCAGGUACUCAUAUCUUAGGAAAGUGGGCCAUUGGACCAAUUAUUUGGGGGUGGCAAUUCACCAGCCUUUGCUGUAGGAGGACUUGCAGCUUUUGUGAGCGGACUUGUGGCAAUUAUUGGUCUCCCUUGUUCCC
RNA transcript from Musa acuminata AAA Group (dessert banana), 1736 nucleotides. It is a transcript of the gene named sucrose transport protein SUT2-like, with no coding region annotated. The transcript has 5 exons. NCBI's taxonomy places the organism in Eukaryota, Viridiplantae, Streptophyta, Magnoliopsida, Zingiberales, Musaceae. The record is from RefSeq and is a predicted model, not a curated record.